Molecule: ribosomal RNA, 253 nt
Filed under: uncultured archaeon
Lineage: Archaea
Description: partial 16S ribosomal RNA
Rfam family: Archaeal small subunit ribosomal RNA
Source: RNAcentral
CCCCGGCGCCCCAAGUGGCAAUCACGUUUAUUGGGCCUAAAGCAUUCGUAGCCGGAUAUUUAAGUCUUCUGUGAAAUCAAUUAGCUUAACUAGUUGGCGUGCAGAAGAUACUGAGUGUCUUGGAACCGGGAGGAGUCAGAGGUACUCUGAGGGGAGCGGUAAAAUGUGAUAAUCCUCGGAAGACCACCAGUGGCGAAGGCGUCUGACUAGAACGGAUUCGACGGUGAGGAAUGAAGGCUAGGGGAGCAAAAGG